RNAcentral lists this transfer RNA (85 nucleotides) under Candidatus Thorarchaeota archaeon. RNAcentral's name for it is "tRNA-Leu". It matches the Rfam family "tRNA". From Rfam's summary of the family: Transfer RNA (tRNA) molecules are approximately 80 nucleotides in length. Their secondary structure includes four short double-helical elements and three loops (D, anti-codon, and T loops). Lineage: Archaea; Promethearchaeati; Candidatus Thorarchaeota. The record is from RNAcentral.
GCGGGAGUUGCCGAGCUGGUCAAAGGCGGCGGACUUAAGAUCCGCUCUCGCAGGAGUUCGUGGGAUCGAGCCACCUCCCGCACCA